This is a long non-coding RNA of Cyprinus carpio carpio, 1048 nucleotides long. The record is from Ensembl. Lineage: Eukaryota; Metazoa; Chordata; Actinopteri; Cypriniformes; Cyprinidae.
ACUGGUACUUUUAGUUUAUUAGUUUAACUGCAGUUGGACAACAGCAGAAGUACAGUACAAGCAUAAAAGUUUGACUAUAACAGUGAUUAGAGCAACAUGUUUUGAUUACUUUUUCUGAAAAAAAAAACAAAAAAACAAGCAUUUCAGUAAGAGACCUUAUGCUUAAAACCUAUUACAUCACAAUGAUUGAAAUAUGUACAUGUGCAUGUAUAGAAAAUGUCCACACACAUGAACAUAUGGAGUAACAUGAGCUGUGUAAAAGGUCUAUUAUUGUGUUGCUUUCUAAUAAGCAUCAGAGUAAAACAAGUCUAAAACUUUUCAGUUUUGUUAGUUCUGUGCUUGUGCAAGAAAGAAAAGCUUCAAAAGCAUCUUGGUACAUUGCUCAAAAUGUCACAACUGCUGUUAGUCAGGUGCUUGUAGUCAAAAUGGCAUCGCUAUGUACAUUAUCUUCAGGUAUAUAACUAUAGACAUGCGAAUACAAGCUACUGUACAGUGGAGCACCAGCACAUAAAUAUCUGCAAUUUAAAAUCAUUUUUUUGCUCCUAUACACCACAUACACAAGAAUGUCUGAAAUACAGUAUAUAACAAAAAUAAGAAUGUUAAAACUACAUCUUUCAUUUGGUUUAUUAAUAAACUUGCAAAGACAGGAAGCACAGCACAGGGUGGCAUGAAAAGUCAUGUACAUGUUGGGAUUCGAAUGAACACUUGUUUUAUUUCUUCAUGCCUCAGUGUUUGUCUGUGAGUGGGAGUCUGGCACUGGUAACUACAUAUUCCAUGUUUCCAUUUCAAUUUAGAACUUCAACUAGUUAAAAUGGUUUUCUACAGAAGCCUGUUUCCACCACUGUUUGAAACGAUAAAAAGGUAAUUGUGACUUUUUUCAGAAUUGCGAGAUAAAAGCUCAGACAUUUUUUUUCCAUCUUAGUUUAUAUCUUGUUUUUCUGAUUUUAUCUAACAAUUCUGCAAUUCAGUUUUUUCCCCACCAAAGAAUUCAAAAAUGAAAAAGGUAAUUUUAACUUUUAUUAAAAAAUUAAAAUAAUUAAUUUAAUUU